AUUGAACGCUGGCGGCAGGCCUAACACAUGCAAGUCGAACGGUAACAGGAAGAAGCUUGCUUCUUUGCUGACGAGUGGCGGACGGGUGAGUAAUGUCUGGGAAACUGCCUGAUGGAGGGGGAUAACUACUGGAAACGGUAGCUAAUACCGCAUAACGUCGCAAGACCAAAGAGGGGGACCUUCGGGCCUCUUGCCAUCGGAUGUGCCCAGAUGGGAUUAGCUAGUAGGUGGGGUAACGGCUCACCUAGGCGACGAUCCCUAGCUGGUCUGAGAGGAUGACCAGCCACACUGGAACUGAGACACGGUCCAGACUCCUACGGGAGGCAGCAGUGGGGAAUAUUGCACAAUGGGCGCAAGCCUGAUGCAGCCAUGCCGCGUGUAUGAAGAAGGCCUUCGGGUUGUAAAGUACUUUCAGCGGGGAGGAAGGUAGUAAAGUUAAUACCUUUGCUCAUUGACGUUACCCGCAGAAGAAGCACCGGCUAACUCCGUG
RNAcentral lists this ribosomal RNA (490 nucleotides) under uncultured bacterium. RNAcentral's name for it is "partial 16S ribosomal RNA". It matches the Rfam family "Bacterial small subunit ribosomal RNA", at positions 30 to 507 of the family's 1533-position model. The record is from RNAcentral.